GGGUGUAAGUUGAUGUUUUUAUUAUAAAUCAUGGGAAACAAAGAAAUAACCCAUUCACCGCUCUCAUCACUUGGGCACACCACCCGCUCAGCAUUUUGAUGUUAAAAUACAUUUUAAAGGUUCUUUUCCUUCUUUCACAGAGGAAAUAAUAGAGGAAAUGGCUUAAACUGAGGCCAGAAGCAUUAUGGUGGAUGUGAGUAAAUCUCUGCAUUAUUAAGAGAGAUUAAAAAUUGGGAUGGGUACCUUAUUGAGGUCCUGAAAUCUAUACUUGAAAACCUUAAAGCAUCAGAGAGCUGCCAUUUUCCGUGAUUUCGGUAAAAAGCAGCUCAGGUUAUCCUUCCUUUGAGGCCAUUCUAGGGGGUCCCACAAAUCUUUUUAAGCAAAAUAAAAAUAUUAAUAAUUAUUAAAGUUGUUUUCACAUUGUUGAGGUAUAUUGCAUUAAGAAUGGAAUUUGUUUUUCCAUCAUAAAAGUAGCACAUACUAAUUCUAGGUUUUGAAAAUACAAAUAUAAAAAAGAAAAAAUAUUACCCAUAGCUACUACCUUAAUCUAAAUGUUCUAUGUUUUGCGGUUGAAAUGAAAAAGAAUUUUUUUCAAUUAAAAAGUGUAAUAUGGGCCGGGCGUGGUGGCUCAUGCCUAUAAUCCCAGCACUUUGGGAGGCUGAGGCAGGCAGAUCACUUGAAGUCUGGAGUUUGAGACCAGCCUGGCCAAACAUGGAGAAACCCUGUCUCUACUAAAAAUACAGAAAUUAACCUGGUGUUGUGGCACAUGCCUGUUAUCCCACCAACUGAGGUAGGAAGAUUGCUUGAACCUGGGAGGCAGAGGUUGCUAUAAGCCAAGAUCAUGCCACUGCACUCCACCCUGGAUGACAGAGCAAGACUUUAUCUCAAAAACAAAAGGUAAUAUGUCCAUGGCUCACAACUGUAAUGCCAGCACUUUGGGAGGCCGAGGCAGGAGGAUCACUUGAGGUUAGGAGUUCGAGACUAUCCUGGGCAACAUAGCGAGACCCUGUCUCUACAAAAAAUUUAAAAAAAAAAUUAGCUCGGGGUGGUGGGAUGUGUCUGUGGCCCUACCUACUCCUAGCUACUCAGGAGUCUGAGGUGGGAGGAUGGCUUAAGCCCAGGAGGUCAAGACUGCGGUGAGCCAUGAUCAUGCUACUGCACUCCAGAGUAGCUGGGACUAUAGGCACAUGCUGCCACGCCCAGCUGAAGUCAUGCUCUCUAUCCAUGAGCAUCUUUAUAACUUGCAUAGAUAUAUUUGGGUGAAAUCCUGUCUUGGUCUUUCCCGAUUCUCCCUGAGCAGGUUCCAAACAUUGUUUAGGGCUCAAAGGGAAAUUAGUCUUCAGAGUUUCUCCAGUAAAGUAAUUACGGAGAUCGGGUCAUUUAUUCAACAGAUUGGGUGCCUACCAUGUGCCAAGACUGUGCCAGGCACUGGGGAUAUGAUGAUGAAACCAAAGAUGCUAGCAUGAACACAAUCACUAAACCAAAGUCACACAAAUAAAUUAAAUGUGGGAGGGACAAGGAGAGCUAUACAUGUACUGAUCAUCUGCUAUGCUGGAAGUUUAUUUAGCAAAUGUAAUCUUAUUUAAUCAUCUGGACCCAAGGGAGGUAAUCUGACCUCUCUGAAUCUCAGCUUCAUGUGAAAACGGGGAUAAUAUUAUUGAGAGAGAACAUUUGUUACAGGGGCAAACCCUGUUCCAAGGUUUCUUUCACUCAAAGUAUAAACAAUGAGGCACUUUUUACACUUUAGACACUAAAACUUUUUGGAGGCAAAGAGGGCUGGUAUUUAGUGAGUAUCUGCUAUGUGCUAGGCACUUUACAGAGAUCUCAUUUAAUCUCAGUUCCAUUCUUUGAAUUUGCUAUGUACCCUGCUGUCCAAAUGACGGCACUGAGUCAGUGAGAGGUUUCAUAACUUGCCCAAGGCCACAGAACUGGAUGGAGAAAGACUGCAGAGAUUCAAACCCAGGCCUGCUGACAUGCAGAGCCAAUGAGAAUAUAUUAUCUUGCAGUGCAGUUUAUGGGAUAUAUGUGUCCCUUUGGGAAUUCCUGGGUGUCUGCUGGUGGCCUGUUAACUUGGUUCUUGAAUAUGCACUUUGCUUAUAACUGUGCAGUUUGAAAAGUGACUCAUCCCCAAACUAGGCAGGGUUGAGUGUCUGUCCUGUUUAUCUUCCACAUGCCACCUGCACUAACUUCUGAAGAUAAUCUAUAAUAAAAGCACUGUGAUUAAAAAACAGAAAAACACACACCAAAAAUGUAUAGGUUUGUCUGUUGGUGCUUCUGACAAGAAAAUAAACUCAUGAAUCUCAUUAACUUUAAAAAAAUCACAUCUACUUAAGGUUUAAUGACUAAAGCCAACUUUCUAACAUAUCUGUACCGUUCUCUGAACAUACUGUUUUCACACUUAACUACGAUGUUGUCACUUGUUUCUGUCUGAUUCUGCAAGGGCAGAGACCUUGAAAUAUUCAAAUCUGGAUUCCCCCAUGGUUUGACCCAGCUGAAGUCAGGCAGUGUUCGCUGAAAGAAAUAAAGGUGUUUCCAUAAUGCCUGUAUUAGCUUUCUUUUGGGGCUGUAAGAAGUUACCACAGAUUUAGUGUCAUAAAACAAUAUUCAUUUCUGUUUCACGCUUCUUGUGGGCCCGACGUCUGGAUUCCAUGGCUCAGCUGAUUCUCUGCUUCCAGUCUCACGAGGCUGAAAUCAAGGUGUCUAUAUUCCUUUCUAGAGAGUUGGGGAGGGGGUAUAAUCUGUUCCCAAGUUCAUUCAGCUUGUCAGAAUUCAGCUCUGUGAGGUUGUAGGACUGAAGUCCCCAUUUCCUUGCUGGCUCUUGGCAGGACUUCCUCUGAGCUUUUGGAGGCUGCCUGGAUUCCCUGGCUUGUGGCCACUUUCAAAGCCAGUAACAGUGGGUUGAAUUCCUCUCAUACUUUGAAUUUAAUUCCUCUGCCUCAUCUCUCCAAAACAUCUCUUUUGCCUCCCUUUUGUGCUUUUAAGGGUUCAUGUGAUUACACUGGGCUCACCCAUAUAAUACGGAAUCAUCUAAUUUUAAGGGCUUUAUUUCCAUUGGCAAAAUAUCUUUUGCCAAAGAAUGCUGGCUGGUAAUCCCAGCACUUUGGGAGGCCGAGAUGGGUGGAUCACCUGAGGUCAGGAGUUCAAGACCAGCCUGGCCAACAUGGAGAAACCCAGUCACUACUAAAGAUACAAAAAUUAGCUGGGCAUGGUAGCGCAUGCCUGUAAUCUCAGCUACUUGGGAGGCUGAGGCAGGAGGAUCGCAUGAACCCAGGAGGCGGAGGUUGCAGUUAGCCAAGAUCACGCCACUGCACUCCAGCCUGGGUAACACAGCGAGACUCUGUCUCAAAAAAUAAAUAAAUAAAUAAAUAAAAAAGCAACAUAUUCACAGGUUCCAGGGACUAGGACUUGGACAGUUUUGGGCAAGCGGGGAAGACAUUAUUCUGUCUACCACAGUACCUGUAUUAAACAUGUAAAUUUCAGUUAUUCCCUGUAGGUCAGAGGGCAGUAAAGCUACUUCAGAAGACAUCGGAAAGAAGCCAAAUGACUUGCCAAAGAGUACUGUAUCAGCCGUAGAUUGAAAAAAAAGAAGUUAAAAAUCCUUUGUAAAAAAUCAAGGCAAACAGUUUUUUGAGGGACAGUAGUUCCUCCUUUCUCUCAGGGUAAAGCUAGAGAGAUUUUUAAGAGGUGUCUUAUUCUAACUUGCAGUCUUUUCCCUUUGUAGGAUUUUGCUUACCGGACUCACAAGUUUUCUGUGACCAGUAUUAGAAGCAGAAAACACUGAACCCCUUGGCGUUAGAGUUUGGGCUACACCAUAAUGGUCUCCUAUCAAUACUGGCUCUCGCUACGUGUUAACAUUAGGGAGUGGAGAGUGUGUUUCCUCACCCAGGGAAACCGUUUAAAUGUGGCCACUGAUCCUGCCUUCAUAGUUUUUAAGAGCUGGCAUCAAUCCAACUCCGGACGGACUCUAGAAAUGUUUCUGGACAACGACUGAACCUAUAGUUACAGAAAACCUAUGUGCUGGGCGCUCUGAAUUUCAUUUCAGGUUCUAAAACUAAGGCUCAGAGAGGCUAAGUAUAUUGCCUAUUGUUUCUCAGCUGGUAAUAACAGCUACCAUUUAUUAAACAUUUGCUCUAUGCCAGGCGCCAUAUCAUACGGACCUGAUAAUGUCAAGAUCUCCCUUCACAUCCUCUUCCAAUCUGUCAAGAAUUGUAUGUUAAUUUUAAUUCCAAUAAUGCCAUGAAAUACAAGACAAAUGCAGAUCAGAAAACUGAGGCUCAGAGAGGUUGAGUGGACAGCCAGGGAGUGACUCAGCCAAGAUUCCAGUCUAGGUCCGCUGGACUCCAGGGCCUGAAUUCUCUCCAGGGUACUGCCUCUAAAAACGCCCUCAGGUGCAUUCUGGUCAGUAUGGCCCCAGAGUCCAAGUUCUUUACACGACCCGUCAACAUAUCACCAAGUUCCUAAGAACGCUCUAGGCUGCUGGUGCAGGCUCUGCAAAUACACAGCGGCCUGAAAGCACAGGAAGAAAUGAAGAACCGUCUAAGUCCAUCAGCCGUGGAAUAACCGUUUUACUGGUAUGAGGGUCUUUUUGUCUCAUUAUUAUGUGGCAGUGAGUCAUUUAGAGGUGACCAAAAGGGAAAGUCCUGCCUCUCGUCCCCUACGAGAAGUGUAGGUAAGAACCGUUUAGGCGAGGAGAAGCACGAAGUGGGAACUGCGAGUCGAGCUCCCCAUCCUCACUCCCCACCCGCACCCGCCAGGAGGUCCUGAAGCAAAAAGCACCGAAGGGGUUAAGGGUGGCCGGGGGAGCCCAGCCACCGCCCCUUCCCAGCAUCGCCUCCCAGAAUCCCGCAGGCCCCCAGCCAGUUCUCGCACCUCGCGAGACUCCACCCAGCCCCUUCCCCGAACAGCGACCCGUCCCCGUUCCUAGCUGAGGUCGGUGCUAGGCGGAGGACGCGAGAGGGAGAGCGGAAGGGGGCCGCCGGGCACGCC
RNAcentral lists this long non-coding RNA (4986 nucleotides) under Homo sapiens (human). RNAcentral's name for it is "non-protein coding lnc-ASXL1-1:1". The stretch from base 3199 to 3346 matches the Rfam family "Metazoan signal recognition particle RNA". The record is from RNAcentral. Lineage: Eukaryota; Metazoa; Chordata; Mammalia; Primates; Hominidae.